Chlorobium phaeobacteroides BS1 is the source of this 75-nucleotide non-coding RNA. Lineage: Bacteria; Pseudomonadati; Chlorobiota; Chlorobiia; Chlorobiales; Chlorobiaceae. The record is from Rfam.
ACAUCAGCCAAUGGUUGGCUGAUCGCUAUCGGAUAACGUGUGCUUUUGGUUAUUUGACAGCGGUUCUCUUUCUAU